UACGUAGGGCGCAAGCGUUGUCCGGAAUUAUUGGGCGUAAAGAGCUCGUAGGCGGCUUGUCACGUCGGGUGUGAAAGCCCGGGGCUUAACCCCGGGUCUGCAUUCGAUACGGGCUAGCUAGAGUGUGGUAGGGGAGAUCGGAAUUCCUGGUGUAGCGGUGAAAUGCGUAGAUAUCGAGAGGAACACCUGCGGCGAAGGCGGGUUGCUGGGCCGACACUGACGCUGAGGCGCGAAAGCCAGGGGAGCGAACGGG
This 253-nucleotide ribosomal RNA is filed under the name uncultured bacterium. RNAcentral's name for it is "partial 16S ribosomal RNA". It matches the Rfam family "Bacterial small subunit ribosomal RNA", at positions 524 to 776 of the family's 1533-position model. The record is from RNAcentral.